AGGAGAUUGGAGAAGGCUUCUUAGGGGAGUAACAGCUGAGUUAGGAUUCUGCAGAAUGAAUAUGCAGUUUUCCAGAUUCAGGAAAGGUUUUAUCUAGGGAAACAUAAUAGCACACAUAAGGUGACGUGUGUUUAUGGCAGCCGGGGAGUACUGUGGUGGUGAUAGUGGGAAGUGAGAUGGCAAAGAGGAAAAGGGCCAGAUGAUGAUUAAAUGCCUUACCUGCCGCAGUGAGAGCAUACACACAUGCUCUGAUAGCACUUCUUAGACGGGAAUUCUGAGGGUCAAAGCAUGCCAUCCUGGGGUUGGCCCAUGGCAGCACCAGCCAUGAAGAGCAGCCAGCCUGGCAGGUGUGGAGAGGCCCCAGAGAACCACAGAAGCAGCCGCAGAAGUGAUGAGUGAGCAAUCUCCAGGUAACUAGAUCUGUUUUGCAACAGGGGCUGAAAACCUAACCUAAUGCUGGCCACCAAUAGGGCUAAACAGUGUUAGCAGGUACUGUCAGCAGGCCUCAGGCAGAAGCAGACAAGAAGGGGAAAUGCCACAAGACUAGGCCGUGCAACAUUUCCGCAGUGCUCCUCGCUACAAAGACAUUCCCCUAAGGCUGGUGGGCAACUCAACACUCAGCUCAGUACGUGGUCAGCUCGUCCUCCAUAGGAGCCUUAUGCCUUGGUGAGGAGAUCUCUGAAGAAAUUGCUGAUGAAAGUCCAACAGGCUCUUCCAGUUUGUCUGGUCGGUCACAUUUGCUGAAACCUGGAGGAAUUGUUAGUGGAAGCUCAACAGGCCUGACUCAGUCUGACUGUCCAUUCUUCUGGAAGCUGCAGAGAAAAGAAACCUGGAAACCUUAUAUGCUGACAAAAAGGGACACAAUUGGAUAUGAUGGUUAUUUUACCAAGGUUUUGAAAUGUCGUGCUUUCAAAUAUAAACAGACUGCUUUAAGGAAUCGAAGUUGACUUAUAGAGCCAAUAAAAGCCCUGCAGGAAAGCUGGCCUCAUACUUUGUCUACACAGUCUCUGUACAGGUUUCCUGACCUGUGGCUGGAGUGGAAUUGCGCGAUAUCGGC
Molecule: long non-coding RNA, 1057 nt
Filed under: Homo sapiens (human)
Lineage: Eukaryota; Metazoa; Chordata; Mammalia; Primates; Hominidae
Description: HSALNT0090152
Source: RNAcentral